This 242-nucleotide long non-coding RNA is filed under the name Vombatus ursinus (common wombat). RNAcentral describes it as "lncRNA (ENSVURG00010023165.1)". The record is from RNAcentral. Lineage: Eukaryota; Metazoa; Chordata; Mammalia; Diprotodontia; Vombatidae.
ACUUUUUUUUCUAAAGUGCAAAUUAUGGUUUCUUUCUCAGAAAUUCACAAAGAAAAGGCUGAAAAGCAGGAAAAACCUGAAAAGAAAAUAGCACCUAAAGUAACUCACAAAGAAAAGCCAGAAAAAGAAAAGCCAGAAAAGAAAGCAAGUCACAAAGAUAAACCUGAGAAAAAAGAAAAACCAGAAAUGAAAACACUACUCAAAGGUAAUUGCUAGUGAUUCUUUUAUGAUUAUGUAUAUUU